GACGAACGCUGGCGGCGUGCUUAACACAUGCAAGUCGAACGGAGUGGCGAACGGGUGAGUAACACGUGGGUGAUCUGCCUUGCACUUCGGGAUAAGCUUGGGAAACUGGGUCUAAUACCGGAUAGUGCAAGAUGAGCUCGCGGCCUAUCAGCUUGUUGGUGGGGUAAUGGCCUACCAAGGCGUCGACGGGUAGCCGGCCUGAGAGGGUGUACGGCCACAGUGGGACUGGGAUAGGGGCCGUGCUCCUACGGGAGGCAGCAGGGGGGAAUAGUUCACAAGAGGCGGAAGCCGGAUGCAGGGACGCCGCGUGGGGGAUGAAGGCCUUCGGGUGGGAAACUCCUUUCGACAGGGACGCGGUACCUGUAUAGGAAGCACCGGCUAACUACGUGCCAGCAGCCGCGGUAAUAC
Molecule: ribosomal RNA, 408 nt
Filed under: uncultured bacterium
Lineage: Bacteria
Description: partial 16S ribosomal RNA
Rfam family: Bacterial small subunit ribosomal RNA
Source: RNAcentral